This 496-nucleotide ribosomal RNA is filed under the name uncultured bacterium. RNAcentral's name for it is "partial 16S ribosomal RNA". It matches the Rfam family "Bacterial small subunit ribosomal RNA", at positions 29 to 507 of the family's 1533-position model. The record is from RNAcentral.
AUGAACGCUGGCGGCGUGCCUCAUACCUGCAAGUCGAGCGAACGGACGAGAAGCUUGCUUCUCUGAUGUUAGCGGCGGACGGGUGAGUAACACGUGGAUAACCUACCUAUAAGACUGGGAUAACUUCGGGAAACCGGAUCUAAUACCGGAUGAUAUUUUGAACCGCAUGGUUCAAAAGUGAAAGACGGUCUUGCUGUCACUUAUAGAUGGAUCCGCGCUGCAUUAGCUAGUUGGUAAGGUAACGGCUUACCAAGGCAACGAUGCAUAGCCGACCUGAGAGGGUGAUCGGCCACACUGGAACUGAGACACGGUCCAGACUCCUACGGGAGGCAGCAGUAGGGAAUCUUCCGCAAUGGGCGAAAGCCUGACGGAGCAACGCCGCGUGAGUGAUGAAGGUCUUCGGAUCGUAAAACUCUGUUAUUAGGGAAGAACAUAUGUGUAAGUAACUGUGCACAUCUUGACGGUACCUAAUCAGAAAGCCACGGCUAACUACGUG